UUCCGGUUGAUCCCGCCGGACCUGACUGCUAUCGGAUUGAUACUAAGCCAUGCGAGUCUUUGCAGUAAUGCAAGGCAUACGGCUCAGUAACACGUAGUCAACUUACCCUAUGGACGAGGAUAAUCUCGGGAAACUGAGCAUAAUACUCGAUAGAUCAUAAUACCUGGAAUGGUUUAUGGUUGAAAUGAUUCGUCGCCAUAGGAUGGGACUGCGGCCUAUCAGCUUGUUGGUGAGGUAAUGGCCCACCAAGGCGAUUACAGGUACGGGCUCUGAGAGGAGAAGCCCGGAGAUGGGUACUGAGACAAGGACCCAGGCCCUAUGGGGCGCAGCAGGCGAGAAAACUUUGCAAUGUGCGAAAGCACGACAAGGUUAAUCCGAGUGAUUUCUGCUAAAGAAAUCUUUUGCAAGUCAUAAAACCACUAGUGAAUAAGGGGUGGGCAAGUUCUGGUGUCAGCCGCCGCGGUAAAACCAGCACCUCAAGUGGUCAGGAGGAUUAUUGGGCCUAAAGCAUCCGUAGCCGGCUCUGUAAGUUUUCGGUUAAAUCCAUGUGCUCAACGCAUGGGCUGCCGAAAAUACUGCAUAGCUAGGGAGUGGGAGAGGUAGACGGUACUCGGUAGGAAGGGGUAAAAUCCUUUGAUCUAUCGAUGACCACCUGUGGCGAAGGCGGUCUACCAGAACACGUUCGACGGUGAGGGAUGAAAGCUGGGGGAGCAAACCGGAUUAGAUACCCGGGUAGUCCCAGCCGUAAACGAUGCAGACUCGAUGAUGCAUUGGCAUAUAGCCAGUGCAGUGUCGCAGGGAAGCCGUUAAGUCUGCCGCCUGGGAAGUACGUACGCAAGUAUGAAACUUAAAGGAAUUGGCGGGGGAGCACCACAAGGGGUGAAGCCUGCGGUUCAAUUGGAGUCAACGCCGG
RNAcentral lists this ribosomal RNA (913 nucleotides) under uncultured marine archaeon. RNAcentral's name for it is "bacterial SSU rRNA". It matches the Rfam family "Archaeal small subunit ribosomal RNA", at positions 1 to 921 of the family's 1478-position model. The record is from RNAcentral.